RNAcentral lists this transfer RNA (86 nucleotides) under Arthrobacter phage Atuin. RNAcentral describes it as "tRNA-Ser". It matches the Rfam family "tRNA". Rfam says of the family: Transfer RNA (tRNA) molecules are approximately 80 nucleotides in length. Their secondary structure includes four short double-helical elements and three loops (D, anti-codon, and T loops). Further hydrogen bonds mediate the characteristic L-shaped molecular structure. tRNAs have two regions of fundamental functional importance: the anti-codon, which is responsible for specific mRNA codon recognition, and the 3' end, to which the tRNAs corresponding amino acid is attached (by aminoacyl-tRNA synthetases). tRNAs cope with the degeneracy of the genetic code in two manners: having more than one tRNA (with a specific anti-codon) for a particular amino acid; and 'wobble' base-pairing, i.e. permitting non-standard base-pairing at the 3rd anti-codon position. The record is from RNAcentral. Lineage: Duplodnaviria; Heunggongvirae; Uroviricota; Caudoviricetes.
GGAAGUAUUGCAUAGCGGCCUAAUGCACCUGUCUUGAAAACAGGAGUGGGUGAAACCACCGGGAGUUCAAAUCUCUCUACUUCCGC